Molecule: ribosomal RNA, 287 nt
Filed under: uncultured bacterium
Lineage: Bacteria
Description: partial 16S ribosomal RNA
Rfam family: Bacterial small subunit ribosomal RNA
Source: RNAcentral
UGGGGAAUAUUGCACAAUGGGCGCAAGCCUGAUGCAGCCAUGCCGCGUGUGUGAGGAAGGCCUUCGGGUUGUAAAGCACUUUCAGCGAGGAGGAAGGGUAGUGUGUUAAUAGCACAUUGCAUUGACGUUACUCGCAGAAGAAGCACCGGCUAACUCCGUGCCAGCAGCCGCGGUAAUACGGAGGGUGCAAGCGUUAAUCGGAAUUACUGGGCGUAAAGCGCACGCAGGCGGUUUGUUAAGUCAGAUGUGAAAUCCCCGCGCUUAACGUGGGAACUGCAUUUGAAACU